This 1310-nucleotide ribosomal RNA is filed under the name uncultured bacterium. RNAcentral's name for it is "bacterial SSU rRNA". It matches the Rfam family "Bacterial small subunit ribosomal RNA", at positions 24 to 1382 of the family's 1533-position model. The record is from RNAcentral.
UCAGGAUUAACGCUGGCGGGAUGCAUAACACAUGCAAGUCGAGCGGCAGCACUUCGGGUGGCGAGCGGCGGACGGCUGAGUAACACGUUGGUACCUACCUCAAACUCAGGUAUAACCCCGAGAAAUCGGAGCUAAUACCGGAUAGACCAGAAAUGGUAAAGCUUCGGCGGUUUGAGAGGGGCCUGCGGCGUAUCAGGCAGUUGGUGGGGUAAUGGCCUACCAAACCUAUGACGCGUACCUGGCGUGAGAGCGCGAACAGGCAGAAUGGGACUGAGACACGGCCCAUACUCCUACGGGAGGCAGCAGUGAGGAAUUUUCCGCAAUGGACGAAAGUCUGACGGAGCAAUCCCGCGUGGAGGAUGACACCUUUCGGGGCGUAAACUCCUUUUCUGAGGGAAGAAAUUUUGACGGUACCUCAGGAAUAAGCACCGGCUAACUACGUGCCAGCAGCCGCGGUAAUACGUAGGGUGCAAGCGUUWAUCCGGAAUUAUUGGGCGUAAAGCGAUCACAGGCGGAGAUGUAGGUCUGAUAUUAAAUACCCACGGCUUAACCGGGGGUCUCGUAUCGGAAACCACAUUUCUAGAGGAAGACAGAGGCAAGUGGAAUUUCCAUUGUAGGGGUUAAAUCCGUAGAUAAUGGAAGGAACACCAAAAGCGAAGGCAUCUUGCUGGGUCUUUUCUGACGCUGCUUGAUCGAAAGCGUGGGGAGCGAAAGGGAUUAGAUACCCCUGUAGUCCACGCCGUAAACGAUGGAUACUCGGUGUUCGGCGGUCCAAUCCCGCUGAGUGCCUAAGCUAACGCGUUAAGUAUCCCGCCUGGGGAGUACGGCCGCAAGGUUAAAACUCAAAGGAAUAGACGGGGAUCCACACAAGCGGUGGAGCGUCUGGUUUAAUUCGAUAGUAAGCGAGGAACCUUACCAGGACUUGACAUCUUCAGAAUCUUGCAGAAAUGUGAGAGUGCCUUCGGGAAUUGAAUGACAGGUGCUGCAUGGUUGUCGUCAGCUCGUGCUUUGAAGUGUUCGGUUAAGUCCGUUAACGAGCGCAACCCUCGUCGUAUGUUGUUUUUUCAUGCGAGACUGCCGAUUUCAAAUCGGAGGAAGGUGGGGAUGACGUCAAAUCAGCAUGGCCCUUAUGUCCUGGGCGACACAGGCGCUACAAUGGCCGGUACAAUGCGUAGCCAAGCCGCAAGGCGGAGCCAAUCGCACCAAAACCGGUCUCAGUUCGGAUUGGGGUCUGAAACCCGACCCCAUGAAGUUGGAAUCGCUAGUAAACGCCGAUCAGACAUGCGGCGUUGAAUAUGUUCCUGGAUCUU